GAUCAUUACAGUAUUCUUUUUGCCAGCGCUUAAUUGCGCGGCGAAAAAACCUUACACACUGUGUUUUUUGUUAUUACAAGAACUAUUGCUUUGGCUUGGCCUAGAGAUAGGUUGGGCCAGAGGUUUACUAAACUUCAAAUUUCGAUUUGAAUUUUUUUUAUAUUUAACCUGUCAAUUUGUUGAUUAAUUUCAAAUAAAUCUUCAAAACUUUCAACAACGGAUCUCUUGGUUCUCGCAUCGAUGAAGAACGCAGCGAAAUGCGAUAAGUAUUGUGAAUUGCAGAUUUUCGUGAAUCAUCGAAUCUUUGAACGCACAUUGCGCCCUCUGGUAUUCCGGAGGGCAUGCCUGUUUGAGCGUCAUUUCUCUCUCAAACCUUUGGGUUUGGUAUUGAGCGCUACGCAACUUUACUGUUGUGUUUGCUUGAAAGGAAUUGGCACUGAGUGGUACUAAUAGUACUUCCCUUUGGAACUUCAAUGUAUUAGGUUUAUCCAACUCGUUGAACCCUUUGGGCAAGUAAAUUUUAGCACUUUAUGCUCGGCCUUACAAGACAACAAACAAGAUUGACCUC
Molecule: unclassified non-coding RNA, 568 nt
Filed under: Cephaloascus fragrans
Lineage: Eukaryota; Fungi; Ascomycota; Pichiomycetes; Serinales; Cephaloascaceae
Description: sequence contains 18S rRNA gene, ITS1, 5.8S rRNA gene, ITS2, 28S rRNA gene
Rfam family: 5.8S ribosomal RNA (bases 206-359)
Source: RNAcentral